AUUGAACGCUGGCGGCAUGCCUUACACAUGCAAGUCGAACGGUAACAGGUCUUCGGAUGCUGACGAGUGGCGAACGGGUGAGUAAUACAUCGGAACGUGCCCGAUCGUGGGGGAUAACGCAGCGAAAGCUGUGCUAAUACCGCAUACGAUCUACGGAUGAAAGCGGGGGAUCGCAAGACCUCGCGCGGACGGAGCGGCCGAUGGCAGAUUAGGUAGUUGGUGGGACAAAAGCUUACCAAGCCGACGAUCUGUAGCUGGUCUGAGAGGACGACCAGCCACACUGGGACUGAGACACGGCCCAGACUCCUACGGGAGGCAGCAGUGGGGAAUUUUGGACAAUGGGGGAAACCCUGAUCCAGCCAUGCCGCGUGCAGGAUGAAGGCCUCGGUUGUAAC
RNAcentral lists this ribosomal RNA (395 nucleotides) under uncultured bacterium. RNAcentral describes it as "bacterial SSU rRNA". It matches the Rfam family "Bacterial small subunit ribosomal RNA", at positions 30 to 429 of the family's 1533-position model. The record is from RNAcentral.